This 119-nucleotide unclassified non-coding RNA is filed under the name Trypanosoma cruzi. Its description in RNAcentral is "trans-spliced leader SL". The record is from RNAcentral. Lineage: Eukaryota; Euglenozoa; Kinetoplastea; Trypanosomatida; Trypanosomatidae.
UCGCACACUCGGCUGCAUUUGCUGUUCCACACUCGCCAUGUGCGUCUUUUCCGCCCCCUGACGCCGUCCACGGCGCUAUCCCGGGGCCGACAUCCCGGACCCUGACCCCUCCCCAGUGU